RNAcentral lists this ribosomal RNA (446 nucleotides) under uncultured bacterium. Its description in RNAcentral is "partial 16S ribosomal RNA". It matches the Rfam family "Bacterial small subunit ribosomal RNA", at positions 338 to 795 of the family's 1533-position model. The record is from RNAcentral.
CCUACGGGUGGCAGCAGUCGAGAAUCAUUCACAAUGGGGGAAACCCUGAUGGGGCGACGCCGCGUGGGGGAAUGAAGGGCUGCGGAUUGUAAACCCCUGUCAUGUGGGAGAAAAGGAAAAAGAGAGUACCACAAGAGGAAGAGACGGCUAACGCUGUGCCAGCAGCCGCGGUAAUACAGAGGACUCAAGCGUUGUUCGGAAUCACUGGGCGUAAAGCGUGCGUAGGCUGUUUCGUAAGUCGUGUGUGAAAGGCGCGGGCUCAACCCGCGGACGGCACAUGAUACUGCGAGACUAGAGUAAUGGAGGGGGAACCGGAAUUCUCGGUGGAGCAGUGAAAUGCGUAGAUAUCGAGAGGAACACUCGUGGCGAAGGCGGGUUCCUGGCCAUUACCUGACGCUGAGGCACGAAUGCCAGGGGAGCGAAAUGGAUUAGAUACCCUAGUAGUC